GAUCAUGGCUCAGGACGAACGCUGACGGCGUGCUUAACACAUGCAAGUCGAACGGUGACGAGGAGCUUGCUCCUCCGAUCAGUGUCGAACGGGUGAGUAACACAUGAGUAACCUGCCCCAGACUCUGGGAUAACAGUUGGAAACAGCUGCUAAUACCGGAUACGAGACGGAGAGGCAUCUCUACCGUCUGGAAAGUUUUUCGGUCUGGGAUGGACUCGCGGCCUAUCAGCUUGUUGGUGAGGUAAUGGCUCACCAAGGCGACGACGGGUAGCCGGCCUGAGAGGGCGACCGGCCACACUGGGACUGAGACACGGCCCAGACUCCUACGGGAGGCAGCAGUGGGGAAUAUUGCACAAUGGGCGAAAGCCUGAUACAGCGACGCCGCGUGAGGGAUGACGGCCUUCGGGUUGUAAACCUCUUUCAGCAGGGAAGAAGCGAAAGUGACGGUACCUGCAGAAGAAGCACCGGCUAACUACGUG
RNAcentral lists this ribosomal RNA (479 nucleotides) under uncultured bacterium. RNAcentral's name for it is "bacterial SSU rRNA". It matches the Rfam family "Bacterial small subunit ribosomal RNA", at positions 15 to 507 of the family's 1533-position model. The record is from RNAcentral.